UACACACCGCCCGUCACACCAUGGGAGUCGAUUGCUCCAGAAGUAGGUAUCUUAACCGCAAGGAGGGAGCUUACCAAGGAGUGGUUGGUGACUGGGGUG
This 99-nucleotide ribosomal RNA is filed under the name uncultured bacterium. Its description in RNAcentral is "partial 16S ribosomal RNA". It matches the Rfam family "Bacterial small subunit ribosomal RNA", at positions 1384 to 1482 of the family's 1533-position model. The record is from RNAcentral.